RNAcentral lists this ribosomal RNA (253 nucleotides) under uncultured bacterium. RNAcentral's name for it is "partial 16S ribosomal RNA". It matches the Rfam family "Bacterial small subunit ribosomal RNA", at positions 524 to 776 of the family's 1533-position model. The record is from RNAcentral.
UACGUAGGGAGCGAGCGUUGUCCGGAAUUACUGGGUGUAAAGGGAGCGUAGGCGGGACUGCAAGUCAGAUGUGAAAUUUAUGGGCUUAACCCAUAACGUGCAUUUGAAACUGUGGUUCUUGAGUGAAGUAGAGGUAAGCGGAAUUCCUAGUGUAGCGGUGAAAUGCGUAGAUAUUAGGAGGAACAUCAGUGGCGAAGGCGGCUUACUGGGCUUUAACUGACGCUGAGGCUCGAAAGCGUGGGGAGCAAACAGG